RNAcentral lists this ribosomal RNA (445 nucleotides) under uncultured bacterium. Its description in RNAcentral is "partial 16S ribosomal RNA". It matches the Rfam family "Bacterial small subunit ribosomal RNA", at positions 354 to 796 of the family's 1533-position model. The record is from RNAcentral.
GUGAGGAAUAUUGGUCAAUGGGCGGAAGCCUGAACCAGCCAUCCCGCGUGGAGGAAGACGGCCCUAUGGGUUGUAAACUUCUUUUCAAGGGGAAGAAAGUUCGCGACGUGUCGCGAUUUGCCGGUACCUUUGGAAUAAGCAUCGGCUAACUCCGUGCCAGCAGCCGCGGUAAUACGGAGGAUGCGAGCGUUAUCCGGAUUUAUUGGGUUUAAAGGGUGCGUAGGCCGAUCGAUAAGUCAGCGGUGAAAUACCAUGGCCCAACCAUGGAACUGCCGUUGAUACUGUCGGUCUUGAAUAUGGUCAAGGUAGGCGGAAUGUGUAAUGUAGCGGUGAAAUGCUUAGAUAUUACACAGAACACCGAUUGCGAAGGCAGCUUACUGGUCCAUUAUUGACGCUGAGGCACGAAAGCGUGGGGAUCGAACAGGAUUAGAUACCCGAGUAGUCC